This 253-nucleotide ribosomal RNA is filed under the name uncultured bacterium. RNAcentral describes it as "partial 16S ribosomal RNA". It matches the Rfam family "Bacterial small subunit ribosomal RNA", at positions 524 to 776 of the family's 1533-position model. The record is from RNAcentral.
UACGGGGGGUGCAAGCGUUAAUCGGAAUCACUGGGCGUAAAGGGUGCGUAGGCGGUGCAUUAGGUCUGUCGUGAAAUCCCCGGGCUCAACCUGGGAAUGGCGGUGGAAACCGGUGUACUAGAGUAUGGGAGAGGGUGGUGGAAUUCCAGGUGUAGCGGUGAAAUGCGUAGAGAUCUGGAGGAACAUCAGUGGCGAAGGUGGCCACCGGGCCCAAUAUUGACGCUGAGGCACGAAAGCGUGGGGAGCAAACAGG